CACAUCAUUCGCGUGCUGCAUGGAAUUGUACCAAGCGGUUUACAGUCCAAACCAGAUAUCAUGGGGUUAUCUUUCACAGAUUUUGCAGACUUUGUGGCAUAAUACUACGAAGCCCGAUCCCGUUUUCCCGUCUACGCAAGACCGAAGGGGAUGUCCCGCAAUUUAACUAAGGAUAAGCGGAAGAAAACCCACUGAACUCUAUAACUGGAAUGGCCCCGAUCGCUUGCUGUGCAUUGGAAGCUUGAAGCCACCGGAAGUAUAGAAGUCGCCAUGUUGUUUCACCCAAAACAAGAAAGCCUAACAACUAAGAAGAGUUGGAGAUGCCGUCUUGUGCUGCUAUUAAUUGCACAAAUCGUGAUACUCGUGAAAAUCGCGACAAGGGACUUACAUUUCACAGAUUUCCACACUGCAAUGUUCAACUUCUAAAGCAAUGGGUAGUAAAUAUGCGGAGAGACAGGUGGAUUCCUGCAGCCAGAUCGCAACUCUGUUCAAGUCAUUUCACCGAGGAGAACUUGGACAGGACCGGCCAGACUGUUAGAUUAGGACAAAAUGCAGUUCCAACAAUAUUUGACUUUCCUGAUCAUCUUCUAAAGGUAUGCUAGCAUUUAACUUUGAUACUACGUAGAUCCUUAUCGUAACAAAUACCUUGUGAACACUGAAAUUGACUUGUUAUGCAUUGUAAUUUCACACCAUAGAGGUAGGAAAAAACUUAAACUUGAGGGAAAUUUUGAGAUUUGGGUCUAGUAAAUUUACUCUGUUUCAAUGUAAUUUGUGUUAAUUCGCAUUAAUUUUUAUAUCGAACCAUAAUAAAUGUAGUGUGUAUGUCUAAGCGUGUGUGCUUUUUUGGGUGAAGCAAGAUGGCCGACCAAUGGCUUCAUGCGGUCAGUAGUAUUCCAGUAGUAUAGAGUUCAGUGAGAAAAACAAUGGCCGAGCAGUGACAUUGAUUAUUAUUUUUCAUUUAUGAUCAUAAGGGGUCAAUAACCAUACCUCAUAUGGACAGAGGAAAAAGAAAUAUAACUACCUGAAUAAAUACAAAUACAUAUACAAUAAACAAUAUUGCGAUUGUCAUUUGCGGUGUACUGUCAAAUGGAGCAGUCUCAUUGGGUUGUGGCACCAAGCGCUACUGCGCAUGCGUACAACAAAGAAACCUGUUCUAAAUGUGCAUCAAUUUUGAAGGAAUCCGUCACAUGAGCACAGUCUUAUCAUAGUGAGGCUACAUUAGUGUAUUUCAUCAUUUAAUGUACAUGUGUGACACCACAACCUAUUAAACAAUGACAUUUACGAUUUAUUAUGUUAUGAUACUCAUGUGAAGAUGUUGAAAAUCUACUUACGUCGACUUAAGACUUUAGUUCGAUAGCUGCAUUGCCAGGUGAACUUCACACUGUCAUAGCUGUACAAUAGGGGCGUGCAAAG
This is a long non-coding RNA of Dunckerocampus dactyliophorus (ringed pipefish), 1413 nucleotides long. RefSeq lists it as uncharacterized. Lineage: Eukaryota; Metazoa; Chordata; Actinopteri; Syngnathiformes; Syngnathidae. The record is from RefSeq and is a predicted model, not a curated record. The transcript has 3 exons.